This 376-nucleotide ribosomal RNA is filed under the name uncultured bacterium. Its description in RNAcentral is "bacterial SSU rRNA". It matches the Rfam family "Bacterial small subunit ribosomal RNA", at positions 524 to 898 of the family's 1533-position model. The record is from RNAcentral.
CACGGGGGGAGCGAACGUUGUUCGGAAUCACUGGGCGUAAAGGGCGCGUAGGCGGCCUGGUCAGUGAAACGUGAAAGCCCCUGGCUCAACCAGGGAAUGUCGUUUCAUACUGCCAGGCUUGAGGACGGGAGAGGAGAGGGGAAUUCCCGGUGUAGCGGUGAAAUGCACUGAUAUCGGGAGGAACACCAGUGGCGAAGGCGCCUCUCUGGCCCGUUCCUGACGCUCAGGCGCGAAAGCAGGGGGAGCAAACAGGAUUAGAUACCCUGGUAGUCCCUGCCGUAAACGGUGAACACUAGGUGUGGGGGGCAUCGACCCCUUCCGUGCCGCAGCUAACGCAUUAAGUGUUCCGCCUGGGGAGUACGACCGCAAGGUUGAA